GAAGAAGCAAAUAUGAACACAUGUGAUACUUGAAGAAGAGAAAAUUAUUCUUGUGCAAGGAGCUUUUGAUAUCUUUUAAACUUCUCUGAAAAAAAUGAUGCAAAGAAGAGUCCAACAAUUAGAUUUAUUUUCUUGUCAAAUAGACAAAGGUGAAAAUGAAUUAGGGCUUUGUACUCGUAUCUUCUUUGAUCCAGCAGAUGAGGAUGAAAAGGAACCAGGUGUUUUUAUUACUGAAAUUGCUGAAGGGGGUGCAGCCCACAAACUUGGAUGUAUCCAUUUAUUUGACCAGAUUAUUAAAAUAGGUGAAACCAAUCUAAUUGGAUUAGAUGAAGAAGAAAUCUUCUCUACUUUUAAAAAAAAUGGAAAAUUGUGUUUUCCGGAUUGAAAUUGGAAGAGAGCCACCUGAAGUCAAGACAGAACUCAUCAUACUCCUUGAAUUGUCAGAGGAAAGGAAGAAAUUUUUUACAGAUUCAGUCAUAGUUCAGGAAAAAGUUGGAGAUAUCAAAAUUGUGAAAGGAAAAGCAAGAAAUUCUAAAACUCCGAAAAUAUCAUGGCUCUGGAUCACCAGAGAACUGGAAUUAAAAAAUGAAGAGAUGGAAUUGAAAAGAAUAAUAGAAGAAGAAGGUCAGAAAUAUAAAAAAGACCUCAAGGAAAUUGAUGAAAUGACUAACAACUUGAUAGAGAAACUUAAAAAAUACGUGAACAUAUCUGAAGUGAAUAUCGGAAAUCAGCCUGAGGAGACAGUAAAAGAAGAUAUAACAACAGGGCAAUUAUUGGCCGCAGAGGACAUCAGUUUAGAUAUCACAAUUAAAAAAGAACAAGUAGCAGAAUUAGUAGAAGAGGAGAUCAGCAGUGGCAAACCUGCAGUGGGAAAAGCUCCAAUGCAGUUUUCCUGGUUUUGCAAUGUCCAAGGAUACAAUUGGAGGAACUUCUUUUGUUUUAAAAAACAUGAUAAACAAGUAAAGAAUGUGCGCAAGCAGGAAGAAACUGACCUAAAGCUGCUGGUGUCUGACUGGACAGAAACUCAAGUUGGCCAUUGGUUAAAGAGUAUUGGAAUGAAAAAAUAUAUCCUGAAAUUUGAUUAUAAAAGAGUAAGCAGUCAAGAACUUCUUGAAUUAGACAAUGAUGCAUUAAAAUGCAUUGGAAUCACUAAGAAGAGAGAUCGCAAGAAAAUCCUUAAGGGAAUUAAGAAAAUUCAACAGACAGAAAAAAAUUAAUACAAUCUAACAAUUAAAUAUAUCAAAAAGAUAAUUCUGGAAGAUACAGCAAAAAUGAGAAAAAUAUAAUUACAUGAUAUUUACCUUUAAUCUACUACUUCAACAUAUUAUUUUGAUAUAGAAUAAUUUUUCAUUGUUGAAAAAUUAUUAAUAUCAUCCAUAAUAAGCAUUACACAUAUUAUACUGUAUUUCUGAAUAAACUGAUUAUAAUAUACA
Long non-coding RNA from Monodelphis domestica (gray short-tailed opossum), 1433 nucleotides. NCBI's taxonomy places the organism in Eukaryota, Metazoa, Chordata, Mammalia, Didelphimorphia, Didelphidae. The record is from Ensembl.